AAGGGAGACCUAAUUCCGGUAGGAGACGAAAAAAAAGUAGUACCAACCGAGAAUCAAUCCCAAAAGGUCGGAGCGAGGCGAAAUUGGCUUUCAAACUAGGUUCUGGGUUCACACAAGACCUGAAUCAGGAACAAGGGCUAUUAGCUCAGGUGGUUAGAGCGCACCCCUGAUAAGGGUGAGGUCCCUGGUUCGAGUCCAGGAUGGCCCACCUGCACAGGUGGCAAAAAUAAAGAAGCUCCGAAUCAGCACCUUAUCUUACUUAUAUAGUAAGAGAGAAUGCUGGCUCUGAGUUCAGAGUCCAGAGGAACCUUGAAAACUGCAUAGAGCUAGGUGAAAAAGCCAAAAAAGAAGACCGCAAGGCCAAGCUAAUAAGGGCUAACGGUGGAUACCUAGGCAC
This 397-nucleotide transfer RNA is filed under the name uncultured Microcystis sp. RNAcentral's name for it is "partial contains 16S-23S ribosomal RNA intergenic spacer, and 23S ribosomal RNA". The stretch from base 135 to 208 matches the Rfam family "tRNA". Lineage: Bacteria; Bacillati; Cyanobacteriota; Cyanophyceae; Chroococcales; Microcystaceae. The record is from RNAcentral.